Molecule: non-coding RNA, 301 nt
Organism: Paramuricea clavata
Lineage: Eukaryota; Metazoa; Cnidaria; Anthozoa; Malacalcyonacea; Plexauridae
Source: the annotation of a GenBank genome assembly
CGAAAAAAGUUCUUUAAUUUAAAGUUUAGGUUUAUCGGCUAAAUCUUGUCCGCCAUAUUUGUUAUUGUUAUUGCAACGUAAGCAGUUUAGCGGGUGAGUUCGGGCGAAAAGCAGGUGAGUUCGGCAAAAAGCAGGUGGGCUCGACGACAAGUAGCCUCCUUCGCAGCCGCUCUCCCCCCCACGAGCGGCUGCUCACUCGAGCACAACAUUCCAUUCCCUUUGUCUAACGUUAGCCAAUCAGAGUUAGCGUAAUAUAAUAUCUUAAUAAAUUUUCCCGCGAAAUUCUCAGUAUCAAUUCCAG